RNAcentral lists this ribosomal RNA (273 nucleotides) under uncultured bacterium. Its description in RNAcentral is "partial 16S ribosomal RNA". It matches the Rfam family "Bacterial small subunit ribosomal RNA", at positions 524 to 796 of the family's 1533-position model. The record is from RNAcentral.
UACGGAGGGUGCAAGCGUUAAUCGGAAUUACUGGGCGUAAAGCGCGUGCAGGCGGUCUGGUAAGUUGGAUGUGAAAUCUUCCGGCUCAACUGGGAGAGGCCGUUCAAUACUGUCAGACUAGAGGGCGACAGAGGGAGGUGGAAUUCCCGGUGUAGUGGUGAAAUGCGUAGAUAUCGGGAGGAACACCAGAGGCGAAGGCGACCUCCUGGGUCGCACCUGACGCUCAGAUGCGAAAGCUAGGGGAGCGAACGGGAUUAGAUACCCGUGUAGUCC